RNAcentral lists this unclassified non-coding RNA (336 nucleotides) under soil metagenome. RNAcentral's name for it is "partial contains 5.8S ribosomal RNA, internal transcribed spacer 2, and large subunit ribosomal RNA". The stretch from base 1 to 120 matches the Rfam family "5.8S ribosomal RNA", at positions 35 to 154 of the family's 154-position model. The record is from RNAcentral.
GAUGAAGAACGUAGUGAAAUGCGAUAAGUAAUGUGAAUUGCAGAAUUCAGUGAAUCAUCGAAUCUUUGAACGCACAUUGCGCCCGCCAGUAUUCUGGCGGGCAUGCCUGGUCGAGCGUCAUUUCAACCAUCAAGCCCCCGGCUUGUGUUGGGGACCUGCGGCUGCCGCAGGCCCUGAAAACCAGUGGCGGGCUCGCUGUCACACCGAGCGUAGUAGAUUUUCAUCUCGCUCAGGGCGUGCUGCGGGUUCCGGCCGUAAAAAGCCUUAUUUACCCAAGGUUGACCUCGGAUCAGGUAGGAAGACCCGCUGAACUUAAGCAUAUCAAUAAGCGGAGGA